GAUGAACGCUAGCGAUAGGCUUAACACAUGCAAGUCGAGGGGCAGCAUGGUCUUAGCUUGCUCAGACUGAUGGCGACCGGCGCACGGGUGCGUAACGCGUAUGCAACUUGCCUCACAGAGGGGGAUAACCCGUCGAAAGACGGACUAAUACCGCGUACACUCCAUCUUGGGCAUCCAAGGUAGAGGAAAUGAAAUUCGCUGUGAGAUAGGCAUGCGUCCCAUUAGCUAGUUGGUGAGGUAACGGCUCACCAAGGCGACGAUGGGUAGGGGAACUGAGAGGUUGAACCCCCACACUGGUACUGAGACACGGACCAGACUACUACGGGAGGCAGCAGUGAGGAAUAUUGGUCAAUGGGCGAGAGCCUGAACCAGCCAAGUCGCGUGAAGGAUGACUGUCUUAUGGAUUGUAAACUUCUUUUAUACGGGAAUAACAAGAGUCACGUGUGACUCCCUGCAUGUACCGUAUGAAUAAGCAUCGGCUAACUCCGUG
Molecule: ribosomal RNA, 490 nt
Filed under: uncultured bacterium
Lineage: Bacteria
Description: partial 16S ribosomal RNA
Rfam family: Bacterial small subunit ribosomal RNA
Source: RNAcentral